This is a non-coding RNA of Macrolepiota fuliginosa MF-IS2, 99 nucleotides long. NCBI's taxonomy places the organism in Eukaryota, Fungi, Basidiomycota, Agaricomycetes, Agaricales, Agaricaceae. The record is from the annotation of a GenBank genome assembly.
CCGACCUUAGCUCAGUUGGAAGAGCGCGAGACUGUAAUGGAUACAAGUCCGAUCAAAUCGGACAUCUUGAGGUCGCCUGUUCGAACCAGGCAGGUCGGA